RNAcentral lists this ribosomal RNA (253 nucleotides) under uncultured bacterium. Its description in RNAcentral is "partial 16S ribosomal RNA". It matches the Rfam family "Bacterial small subunit ribosomal RNA", at positions 524 to 776 of the family's 1533-position model. The record is from RNAcentral.
UACGUAGGGUGCAAGCGUUAAUCGGAAUUACUGGGCGUAAAGCGUGCGCAGGCGGUUGUGUAAGACAGAUGUGAAAUCCCCGGGCUCAACCUGGGAACUGCAUUUGUGACUGCACAGCUGGAGUGCGGCAGAGGGGGAUGGAAUUCCACGUGUAGCAGUGAAAUGCGUAGAGAUGUGGAGGAACACCGAUGGCGAAGGCAGCCCCCUGGGCUAACACUGACGCUCAUGCACGAAAGCGUGGGGAGCAAACAGG